AUCUAUGGCCAUACCACACUGAAUGUUCCUGAUCUAGUCUGAUCUUGGAAGUUAAACAGAGUUGGGUCUGGUUAGUACUUGAUGGGAGAAAUAAAACAACCUCCAAAUCUGAACUGUAGAUC
Molecule: ribosomal RNA, 122 nt
Filed under: Marmota marmota marmota (Alpine marmot)
Lineage: Eukaryota; Metazoa; Chordata; Mammalia; Rodentia; Sciuridae
Source: RNAcentral